UUCUCCCGUUUAAGUAGAGACGGGAGAAGG
This 30-nucleotide transfer RNA is filed under the name Cyrtodactylus sadansinensis. RNAcentral's name for it is "partial tRNA-Cys". Lineage: Eukaryota; Metazoa; Chordata; Lepidosauria; Squamata; Gekkonidae. The record is from RNAcentral.